GUUGGAUUCGGGGCCGUAGCACUGUCUGAGAGGCUUACAUUUCUCACAGUGAACCGGUCUCUUUUUCAGC
MicroRNA precursor from Ictidomys tridecemlineatus (thirteen-lined ground squirrel), 70 nucleotides. Ensembl annotates it as microRNA 128-1. Lineage: Eukaryota; Metazoa; Chordata; Mammalia; Rodentia; Sciuridae. The record is from Ensembl.